Molecule: long non-coding RNA, 2910 nt
Filed under: Gallus gallus (chicken)
Lineage: Eukaryota; Metazoa; Chordata; Aves; Galliformes; Phasianidae
Description: long non-coding RNA NONGGAT003685
Source: RNAcentral
AAGGGCUGCAGCGCUGUGAUCCACGCCAGGAACAGUGCUGGGGGCUGUGGGGCCCGGAGCUGCACCCACCUGGAAGAGCCCAGCACAUGGUGCAGGGAACGUCAGAGCAGAUGGCUUUCCUUCUGAGUCGGGACACAAUAAAAGGGCAGAAGAAGCUUGAAGGCAUGCGCACAAAGAAGUUCCCCAUAGGUCUUUAACAAGAAAGAAGAAAAAAAAGAUGUCAGCUGGAUUGUUACAACAGAACGUGAAACAGCGACCUGACAGCCGGUGUUGCAUAGUUACCCCGAGUGUGCAGCGACGGCCCCGCGCGUCUCACCUGCCCUCCUGCCCCACAAAGGCACACAUCACAGCACCUUGGAAAUCAGAGGCACAAACUGGGUUUUGUUUUACAAAUAGGGCUGUGCGGUACUGUGUUUUAUUAGUUAAAAAGAAUCUGUAAAACAGAGGAUUACGUGUUUGGAAAUGAUAUAGCUACAGGUUUGUGGUUUUGUUUGAUUUUUUUUUUUUUUUUUUUUGUUACACUGACAUUUCCAAAGCUGCAACAUCAGUACACACCGCUGUCCUUUCCAUAUGUUGUCCCCGACCAGUCUCAUCAUGUGAUAAAGUGACCGCUUCCGCUGAUAGCCCCAUUUCUCCAGGUGUUGAGUUUCUUCCAUGUAUGACUUUGCUGCUUAAGAAAGACUGAAGGGCCGAACAACAAAUUACUCCUUCGAAGCCACCUCGAUGAACACAGCACGUUGCUGCCAUCCUCCCUCGGCGGCAAACAAAUAUUCCAUGCACAGCCCUAGGUUUACAAACGGCCAUUUAAUCGUAACGCUUCGGCUGAGUUUCAAGGAUCGAUGGCAUUCUGCCUUACAGCUUAAUUUAAAAAUACCCAUACAGGCAAAAAACCUUUGUGAACCCAACAUAAAACGGACAACGGAACUUCAGGUCAGGCAGCAUUGCUUUUGCUGGACUGAACGAUCAACUGGAAAAGACCCCUUAAUGCUUCUCUGAUACCCAGGAGUGCAGCUGAGAACCAUUAACUGCACUUGGAAAUACGUGAGAGAUUUAGGAAAACCUUCUUCCCCCCUAUCUCAAUUUUUUGAGAUCUUGUAUUUAUAUAAUACAAUCAAAUACCCGUAUUGCAAAUCUUGCAGACAUUCCACUCAUUUCUCUGGCUUUGUGGAGAGAACUAUAUUGCUUUGUUAGAUUCUAGAUGCUUUCAAUAUACAGUGCAUGGAUAUUCGUGCUAACUUAAAACGUGGAUUUUUACGUACGACAACAGCAUCAAAAUAAACAAAUGUGAUGGUUUGAUCCCUUUGCCCUAAAUUGAAUAGCCAGGAAAGCUCUGAACACUCCAAGUUUUAUUUCAAUGGGAAUGAAUUAAAAAAAAAAAACAGCAAACGAAAAAGCCCCCAAUCUACAACAAGACCGACAAACCUACAGCAGACAUUACAGAAAAGAAUCCUAAAAUGCUAGCAGAGAUCAAAACUGCUGCUAGGUUUCACCCCUCUGUAUUGUCACCAAGUAUCACUUUAAUGCUUUACUCAGUUAAAAUAAGGUUGUUUUUUUUUUUUUUGUCUGGAAAUUUGUGCAUUUCAAGAGCUGAACUAAACAAUACAGAACGAGUGGAGCUGUACAGAGCGUCAUCGGAACCGCUCAUCCAGAACCUGGAACAGAAGUUCAGUUGUCCAUUAUAUGCAGAUUUGAAAACAAUACAAGACACUUGAAUAAUCAACAUUCAUUCACAGACUUAAGGCAACUGGUUCAUGAAAUUGCUGCUUUCGUAAAUGCAAACUAACGACAUGUUCAUCUCACAUGUAACAGGUUACAACCGUAAAACGGGGACGCCUCGGGGGGUUACUCAUCGUCUCAUCGGAAGGUUGUUUGGUCUAAUGCUAGUGAGAAAGUCUUUGAAUAUUUUCAGCCAUUCCUACCAUACCUGCACAACUAACUACGACCUGAAUACUUCCCUGCAAACUGCAUCUGCAACACAGGAGCUACAAGCACAGUUGAAAAUACUGCUCAGACAACAAACUUUUUGGCAGCUUACAGUUUCAUUACUCUGAACUCAAAUACAAAAUUAAACAAUCUCAAACUGAAAGUCAACGUUAAUGGACUAACCAGAAUCCAUAUGUUGGUUUGUUGUUUUUUUUUCCCAAGCAACGUAUGCUUUUGCUGUUGUUGCUGUUUUUUGUACGUUUAAGUGUCAGCUUUGUCUUCUGUUGUGGCACAGAGUCAUACAGUACUAAGGUAAUGCCAACUGGUGAGGAAACAAAACGGUGACGCCGCACAGACUCACAAGUGUCCCUGGGCUGCCUCCAUCACCCCCACUGCGAGGGCCAGGUCAUCCCCCAGCUCACACUGCACCCACACCAACCUACUCACUGCCUGUGUAGGCUGGCCUGCCCUUCUAUGAAUGAAUUCCUUAAGCUGCUUCACCAAUGGGUUAGACAAGGAUGAUGAGUCCAUCGCUUUUUCUUUUUUUUUCCCCAAGUCUGUCAAGACUUUUCAAGAAGAAAGGGAAAGGCAAAGGGGGAUCCGCUGUUCAGAAUUUAGCACUAUGCUAAUUAGAAGCACCAACUCCUCUCAUUUGGUUUUCUUUGAUGGCAACCAAAUAUAGCUGCAAAUUUUACGUUUGUAGAUUUCAGGUGUGGAAAAUAAUUAAAAGGUGACGCUGGAAAGGAAAACAAAUAAGUGCAUUUUCCUUCAAAGGGUUUAAAAUAGUUUCAAAGUUAUUCCAGUGUACCGAUGACACUUGAGAAGAACAGCUGCUAAGCAGAAUUCCAGCUUCAGAGAUGAGAUUUAGUCAGCCCCAAAGCAGAGGACCACUCUGGAGACAAUCUAGGCUGGUUAUUCUGCCCUUCUGGAAAGACCUGACAUAGCUCCCUGCCUGUACAUUACACCUUGGAAAAGAAGAAAUACAAA